CUACGGGUGGCAGCAGUGAGGAAUAUUGCACAAUGGGGGGAACCCUGAUGCAGCAACGCCGCGUGGAGGAUGACGCAUUUCGGUGUGUAAACUCCUUUUAUAUGUCAAGAAAAUGACGGUAGCAUAUGAAUAAGCACCGGCUAACUCCGUGCCAGCAGCCGCGGUAAUACGGAGGGUGCAAGCGUUACUCGGAAUCACUGGGCGUAAAGGACGCGUAGGCGGGCUUGUAAGUCAGGUGUGAAAUCCAACAGCUUAACUGUAGAACUGCACUUGAAACUACGAGCCUAGAGUAUGGGAGGGGCAGAUGGAAUUAGUGGUGUAGGGGUAAAAUCCGUAGAUAUCACUAGGAAUACCUAAAGCGAAGGCGAUCUGCUGGAACAUAACUGACGCUAAGGCGUGAAAGCGUGGGGAGCAAACAGGAUUAGAUACCCUUGUAGUC
This 439-nucleotide ribosomal RNA is filed under the name uncultured bacterium. RNAcentral's name for it is "partial 16S ribosomal RNA". It matches the Rfam family "Bacterial small subunit ribosomal RNA", at positions 339 to 795 of the family's 1533-position model. The record is from RNAcentral.